This 73-nucleotide transfer RNA is filed under the name Stegodyphus mimosarum. It matches the Rfam family "tRNA". Rfam says of the family: Transfer RNA (tRNA) molecules are approximately 80 nucleotides in length. Their secondary structure includes four short double-helical elements and three loops (D, anti-codon, and T loops). Further hydrogen bonds mediate the characteristic L-shaped molecular structure. tRNAs have two regions of fundamental functional importance: the anti-codon, which is responsible for specific mRNA codon recognition, and the 3' end, to which the tRNAs corresponding amino acid is attached (by aminoacyl-tRNA synthetases). tRNAs cope with the degeneracy of the genetic code in two manners: having more than one tRNA (with a specific anti-codon) for a particular amino acid; and 'wobble' base-pairing, i.e. permitting non-standard base-pairing at the 3rd anti-codon position. Lineage: Eukaryota; Metazoa; Arthropoda; Arachnida; Araneae; Eresidae. The record is from Rfam by way of RNAcentral.
GCCUUCGUGGUGUAACGGGAAGCACGCUGAACUCGUAUUCGGAAAAUCUGGAGUUUAAAUCCCGGCGAAGGCA